ACGGAAGGCAGCAGUGAGGAAUAUUGGUCAAUGGACGGAAGUCUGAACCAGCCAUGCCGCGUGAAGGAAUAAGGCCCUAUGGGUCGUAAACUUCUUUUGUGGUGGAGCAAUAAGGUGCACGUGUGCAUCGAUGAGAGUACAUCACGAAUAAGCAUCGGCUAACUCCGUGCCAGCAGCCGCGGUAAUACGGAGGAUGCGAGCGUUAUCCGGAUUUAUUGGGUUUAAAGGGUGCGUAGGCUGUUCUUCAAGUCAGAGGUGAAAUACCGGGGCUCAACCCUGGAACUGCCUUUGAUACUGGAGGGCUUGAAUACUGUUGCCGUGGGAGGAAUGAGUAGUGUAGCGGUGAAAUGCAUAGAUAUUACUCAGAACACCGAUUGCGAAGGCAUCUCACGAAGCAGCGAUUGACGCUGAGGCGCGAAAGCGUGGGGAUCGAACAGGAUUAGAUACCCUGGUA
Molecule: ribosomal RNA, 454 nt
Filed under: uncultured Rikenella sp.
Lineage: Bacteria; Pseudomonadati; Bacteroidota; Bacteroidia; Bacteroidales; Rikenellaceae
Description: bacterial SSU rRNA
Rfam family: Bacterial small subunit ribosomal RNA
Source: RNAcentral